GUAAAAAAGGCCCAGAUUGGAGAUGAAAGCAGCAGCAACAGCGCUCAAAACAAAGAUAAAGAAAGCAGGAGUCGAAGUAAAGCGCUUCUUCCCGGUAGCUGCUGGUACGAUGCAAGCCACAUGCUCAUCGACGGUGUCAUCGCGCCUAGCCAAACUAGAACUGUUGUUGCGAAGUGCUUGGCCGUGAGCGCACAGAGGAACAAGCUGCUGUUCGAAAGCCGCGCGUCUCCAGUCUACAGACUCUGAUGCAGUCUCUACCUAAAAUUAUCAUUGUUGUUUAUUCAAAAAGUUAGCCUUCUAACUCAUUUUAAAAUAAGUUUAAAGUGUUGCGUUUCUUUUAAAUGUUUCGGAGCGAAUUACUCGGGCAAAUAAGUGCACUUAGAUGGCAAUAAUUUUUGGUUUGAGAUGAUAAGUUUAUUUUGUCGCUGUCUAGAAGUUUAUUGAACUGUCCAUGAAACAUCUUGUGCAAUGACAAACAUUUUUAUUUGAAUACCUAUAGGAUUGUUGAACCGACUACCAACAUCGUAAUCAAUGCUGAAUAUUAUUACCUAUAUGGGCAUUUUCCUUAUAUUAUUUUUAUUAAUUGAGCUGAUUAUGUGCAGGUUAUUCGUCUUUCGUCAGAAAAGGUCCCGAUUGUUUUCAUUGACUCUAUAAAUUUAUUUUGUCAAGUUUAUUUAAUUGCGCUAUUUUUACCGUACUAUAGAAGACUAAAAUAAUGAAAAAGUUAGGUUUUGCAAAACAAUUUAUGUCUGACAAGGCGCUUGGUUUGAUCUUUCAUUUCUUGUUCAUACACAAAACUUCAAUAAUUCCACUCUUAAGAGACCUAAUUUUUAAUGCUUUAUACCGAAUACGUCUAAAAUUUUAAUCUGUUGUAUUACUUCUCUGUACAUUACACGAUCAUCUUUUAAUGGGUUCAAACGUAAUAUCGUAUUCAAACGUAAAAUAAUAAUUUUUUAUCAUAUUUUAUUUUACUUGCGUUUUUGAUAUUAUGAGACGCUUCCUCUGCGACUGUUUGAUCCAAGCCGAAUUGUACGGAUUGCUGAUCUCGUGAAGCUCUCCGUAAAAUACGACUUUCAAAAAUGUCUAAAACUUGUGCUGCUCACGCAAUAUCAGUGAACGUUGCACUUGCUUGAAGAGUUUCAUCAACUAUACGCGACUUCCGAAAAGUACAAAUUUCUUCAAAGUCAUGAAGUCUUUCUUCAACUCUGAAAAAUCUUUCUUCAAAGUCGUCCUUGUCGCAAAGAGACACCCGUAAAACUCAGUGAAGGUGUUCGAAACUUACAAGGGACCUUUUUCAUAAUAAGUUUAUCCAUUCGUUUCUUCGUUCCAUAUUUAGUUUGUAAUAUGUUAAAUCAAUACGGAGUGUUUGCAUGUAGAACUCCCUUCAUAUCCCUUCAUAAUUUCCCAUGUAACUUCUUUUUAUUCGAUUGUUAAUUGGUAUGUUUUUCUGGACAGCCUUGUUGAACUAAAGGUAUUGCCGUAAAUCGAAAAUUGGUGAUAAAAAUUUGUGUUAUCUGUCGUCUAUAUUAAACACGAAUUUGAUUUUUUCGUGUGGAAGUAAAGAAGUAUGUUGUUCUCUUCUAAAGCCGUUCUUUAUUUGUACGUUGUUGGGACUACUAUUACAGAUGUAUUUUUUAA
Molecule: long non-coding RNA, 1638 nt
Organism: Hyalella azteca
Lineage: Eukaryota; Metazoa; Arthropoda; Malacostraca; Amphipoda; Hyalellidae
Exons: 2
Source: RefSeq, a predicted model, not a curated record